This is a microRNA precursor of Homo sapiens (human), 56 nucleotides long. The record is from Ensembl. Lineage: Eukaryota; Metazoa; Chordata; Mammalia; Primates; Hominidae.
AACAGUUGAGUCCUGAGAACCAUUGAGAACCAGUUUUCCCAGGAUUAACUGUUCCG